Long non-coding RNA from Capsicum annuum, 577 nucleotides. RefSeq lists it as uncharacterized. Lineage: Eukaryota; Viridiplantae; Streptophyta; Magnoliopsida; Solanales; Solanaceae. The record is from RefSeq and is a predicted model, not a curated record. The transcript has 3 exons.
GAUAAAUCAAAGUUAGAUCAGCAACAUAAGAGUGCAGUUCACAUUCCUGCGGGAGUAAAUGAUGAAAGCAAUGUUGAUCAAGAUUUGUCUGACUCUCAGAUCACUCUUCCGGAUGAGCUUCUUCCCAGUCUUAUUGUGUAUGUCAAUCUUGAACGAAGUAUAAUUGUACAUCCAUCGACAAAUCAAGCACAACAAACGUCAAUGCAUGUUUCAAGGAUUAGGCGACCAUCUAGAUACAAUGAGUCACCAUUCACAAUGAAAUUUGGUUCAGCAGAUGCUUAAUAAUAAAGUAAGCACGGAAGAGAAAUGGAGAACAUUCGAUCAGAAGUAUCCCUUCAUAUCUCAUCCAGUUAAUGCGAUAAAAGACACUAAAGCCACCAACAAGUUCAUGACGUGGCUUCUUUGGAUCUUCUUAAAUAUCAUUCGAAGAGGAACAACAAAGAAGAACAUUAUUUGAAGGGAAAGGCAAAAGUAUCAGUUAUCAACUUUAGAAUUUUAUCUGUUGAAGACAAGAAUUGAUUCUACGUUAUGGGUACUUCUAGCCAAAAGUGGUCAGAUGAGGUAAGUGAUGUAUUAU